AUAAAUAAAAUAAGUAAAGCACUUUUCAGUAUCUUUCUGGAAUUCUUAUCUAUUUGUUAACAUAUGUAUGGUCUUUUUCUGCUGCUGAGAGGUGAAGCCAGCUGGACUUCCUGGCUCGAGUAGGGACUUGGAGAACUUUUCUGUCUAGUUAGAGGUUUGUAAAUGCACCAAUCAGCGCUUUGUGUCUAGCCAAAGGAUUGUAAAUGCACCAAUCAGCAACUCUGUAAAAUGGACCAAUCAGCACUCUGUAAAAUGGACCAAUCAGCACUCUGUAAAAUUGACCAAUCAGCAGGAUGUGGGAGGGGACAAAUAAGGAAAUAAAAGCUGACCACCCCAGCCAGCGGGGGCGACGUGGUGGGGUCCAUUUGUAGGUUGUGGAGGAUUUGAUCUUUUGCUCUUGGAAAUAAAUCUUGCUGCUGCGCGCGCUCUCUCUCUGGGUGCAUGCUGCUUUUAAGAGCUGUGAUACUCACCAGGAAGGUCCGUGGUUUCAUUCUGGAAGUCAGCGAGACCAAGAACCCACCAGAAGGAACCAACUACAGACACACUGCUAUAUGCUGGAGCCCAGUGGCACAAUCUCCCCUCAUUGCAACCUUUGCCUCCAGAGUUCAAGUAGUUCUCCUGCCUCUGCCUCCCGAGUAGGUGGGAUUACAGGUGCCUGCCACCACACCUGGGUCCAGCUAUGUACAAACUGAAUCAAGAUUCUAUGUACAUCAGAAUCAAGAGAGAGUGAGUUCUUGACAUCACGGAGCGGUCUACAUUCUAGUUCAUGCGGUGGACCUGCUGGGUGGCCUCAGGACCUGAAAUAAAACCAUACGUUGGCUCUCCUGAGUCUCCACCUUCUUGACUGCAGAUUUGGGACUUCUCAGCCUCCAUAAAUAUAGUCUCCCUAUGUCUCCCAAGCUGGAGUGCAGUGGCGUGAUCUUGGCUCAUUGCAGCCUCCACCUCCCAGGUUCAAGUGAUUCUUCUCUCCCAGCCUCCCAAGUAGCUGGGAUUACAGGCUGGAGUGCAAUGGCGUGAUCUCAGCUCACUGCAACCUCCACCUCCUGGGUUCAAGAGAUUCUCCUGCGUCAGCCUCCCGAGUAGCUGGGAUUACAGGCAUGCACCACCACGCCUGGUUAAUUUUGUGUUUUUAGUAGAGAGAGGUUUCUCCUUGUUGGUCAGGCUGGUCUCGAACUCCCAACCUUAGGUGAUCUGCCCGCCUCGGCCUCCCAGAGUGCUGGGAUUACAGGUGUGAGGCACCGCGCCGGCCUAUUGCUUUUAUGUUCUCUACAGUCUCUGCAUGCCUCUGUUGGCUGCCAUCGGGGGCAGACCACUCCCACUGCCCAUCCUUGGACUCCACUGUUUUGGUUUCCCUGGGCAGUUACCCUCUGUCUGGGCAAGUGAAGAUUCUCAGCCUGAGCCCAAUAUCAACAAUGUUCCAGGCUGAAACAGCAGUAGCCAAUUGUCUGCCCAUUUCUGAACGGUUCUUACUAUUCUGGAACUGUAGUCCUUAUACUUUUUUUCUUUGCUUUCACAGUUCUGGAUUCCCUUAAAAAUACUAUUUCUGUGUUAAGUGUUUUCUAGCUGUCAGCACACAUGCUGUCUUACCGUGACCUAUUAUAUCUUUCUUGGAAACAGAAGGCACUACUGGUUUUUGAAUGCUGAUCUUAUAUUUUGGAAUCUCACUGAGUGUUCUUAUUAGUCGUAAAGCCUUAUCUAUAAAUUCUCCUGGAAAGUUCCCUUCAAUCCUUCUUUUAAUGACAAUUUGAAUUAUAAAUGAGGAUUGAAUUUUUUCAAAAUUUUUUCAGAAUGGAUUUAGCGAAUUAUGCGAAUUUCUCAUUUAAUGUGAUGUAUUAUACAAUAAGUUUUUCUGAUAUGGAACCAUCCUUGCAUUUCUUAGAUUCACCCUAUCCUUUCAUAAUGUAUUUUCUAAAAUAUUACUGAACCUGACUUCCUAGUUUUCCAUUUUACACUUUCAUGUCUAUUUUUCUAUAGAUUUCUUUACUUUUGUAUUAUUCUUAGUGGAUUUU
Homo sapiens (human) is the source of this 2009-nucleotide long non-coding RNA. RefSeq lists it as uncharacterized. The record is from RefSeq and is marked validated. The transcript has 6 exons. Lineage: Eukaryota; Metazoa; Chordata; Mammalia; Primates; Hominidae.